UCACCUCUCAUUUGCUGUCUUUGGAAGUCCUUCAAGCUCAGUUGGAGCCACCAUCCCCCACUGAAGGCUCUUGGGGGCCCACUGCAACGGCCACACAAUGGGAUCUCUCUGCUUCUGAGUGUAACACAACUCACUCUUCCCAGCCACCAGAGUGUCACUCUACAACAUAACUUGGAUCCUAUCCCUGAAUGGUUAAAGCCCUUCUGUGGCUUCCUCACGUGCUGGAAGUAUCCCAGUUGCGUCUUCUGAAGCUGAGUCUCCUGUUUUAUGGUUCAUCCAAAUGUGCAGUGCUCAUCUGACUCGCUCAUCACCAUGCAGUGGGGCUGCAUGGAUGAAGCUAAUUUGUGCCGGGCCUAUUUGGAAGCUGGUGUUCCCGUCAUGAAGACUCAGAGGUAGGGCACUCAACUGAGUGAACUCUAGGUAGGAAAGAACAGUGACCACAGAAACGUAGUGUCUCUCUGAAGCUGGAAAUUUGAUCCCAGGUGAAAGCAACCCAGCAGCUGACUACUCAAUGUCUACUGUGUAGUUCCAAGGUUUAGUUCAACUGACUGCAGAUCACCGAAACCUCAGCUAGACCCUGGUUCAAGGCUUUUGGUGGUAGAAGAAGUUAUGUGUGCAGGCUUCACUGUCAGAGAGACUUAGGCUUUGCUCUCCGCUCUUAUGCUCUCUAGCAGAGCCAUCUUGGAUGAAUUGCUGAACUUCACACCAUAAUCUGGAUGUGAUAAUGUUUACUAUACAGACUUCAGGUAAGGAUUUAAUUGAGAUCAUAGACAGAAAGCACUAAGUAAGCAUUCCCUAACCCAUGCUAAUGCACAAAACUUGUUGGUUACUAUGAUUACAAAAGCUGCCACAACAUCUCUCUUGAAGCUUAUAGUGUAAGGGGAAAAGGGGUGCCGGGCACAAAGUUCCUCUAAACAGAGUUGAGCAAUGCUUUUAAGAACUGUUGGAAAUAGAUUUUACUAUCCCCAUUCUUCCCAUGAGGACAUGAAAACCCCUAAAACCUAAAGUUUUGCUCAAGGCCACAUAGCUAAUCAUAGGGCCUGGAUGAAAAUCUGUGUCCGCUGGAACUGUCUCCCAUUAAAGGCCAUGAACUUUCCAUAACAUCAGCAGCCACUUCUGACUUCUCACUCUUCCACGGAGAGGCUGGACACUGGGGAACAUGUUGUUUCAACUAAUUUUACCUUUGUUAUCACAUUCAGUAAGUGGUAUUUAUGUUGGCUGUCCUUUAUGUCUCAUUUGAUUAGGCUUCAGGAGAACAAAUGAUAUAGUAGUCACAAGAAGACUUGAUAAAACAGGAUAUUCCUAUCUCAAUUUUUUUUUCUGGCUUUCUCUUGAUUUGAGGAGCCCAUAGGAAGAACAAAUAAAACCAAAGCAUGAGUGGGUAAAAGAAUGCCCAUCAGUAAAGCAGCAAACGAGCUUUGAGCUCUUUGGAGAAUUCCAUUAAUAAAAGUACUUUUGCACUUGCCACUGUUGACAGAGAUGGAGGACUUGGGUCUCCUAACACCGUCAAGCUGCACCUUUGUGUAACACAUCUAAUCCACUACAGAGGGACAACUUUCAACUGAUGCCUACAGUUUUUCCUUCUCUGAAGCUUAGUGACAUUCAUCGUUUUCUUCUCACAUUUUCUUUUAAAUGCCCCAGUGCAUGACUACCUUUUCAAGGGUUUGUCCCUUUUCAGUAAGAGAGAAAUCAACUAUAGCAGACACUGGGAGGCAGGGUCCACAGCUCUCCCAAGAAUGACAAUAAUGUGAUGGUUUAGGCAUCUGACCCUUACUCAUUGCUCUCUCCAACUCUGUUCCAUUUUGAUAUUAAUUAAAAACAGUUUUAAUCUAAAACCCGUCUAUCAAAAGAAGAACUGCUUGAAGCAAUAUAUGCCUCCUGAAGUCAAUGUCAUGUGACUUUACUCCACUUGAAUUACCUGAAGCAAGACAGUAGUAGUAAUAGCUAUCAUAGUCCAGCUACCAUUUCUUUUCUUUUU
Molecule: long non-coding RNA, 1978 nt
Filed under: Homo sapiens (human)
Lineage: Eukaryota; Metazoa; Chordata; Mammalia; Primates; Hominidae
Description: HSALNT0340461
Source: RNAcentral